CGUGGGUAACCUGCCCAAGAGAUCGGGAUAACACCUGGAAACAGAUGCUAAUACCGGAUAACAACAGAUGAUGCCUAUCAACUGUUUAAAAGAUGGUUCUGCUACCACUCUUGGAUGGACCUGCGGUGCAUUAGCUAGUUGGUAGGGUAACGGCCUACCAAGGCGAUGAUGCAUAGCCGAGUUGAGAGACUGAUCGGCCACAUUGGGACUGAGACACGGCCCAAACUCCUACGGGAGGCAGCAGCC
RNAcentral lists this ribosomal RNA (246 nucleotides) under uncultured Lactobacillus sp. RNAcentral describes it as "partial 16S ribosomal RNA". It matches the Rfam family "Bacterial small subunit ribosomal RNA", at positions 116 to 355 of the family's 1533-position model. The record is from RNAcentral. Lineage: Bacteria; Bacillati; Bacillota; Bacilli; Lactobacillales; Lactobacillaceae.